RNAcentral lists this ribosomal RNA (301 nucleotides) under uncultured bacterium. RNAcentral describes it as "partial 16S ribosomal RNA". It matches the Rfam family "Bacterial small subunit ribosomal RNA", at positions 509 to 807 of the family's 1533-position model. The record is from RNAcentral.
CAGCAGCCGCGGUAAUACGGAGGAUCCAAGCGUUAUCCGGAUUUAUUGGGUUUAAAGGGUGCGUAGGCGGCCUAUUAAGUCAGGGGUGAAAGACGGUAGCUUAACUAUCGCAGUGCCUUUGAUACUGAUGGGCUUGAAUGCAGCUGAGGUAGGCGGAAUGUGACAAGUAGCGGUGAAAUGCAUAGAUAUGUCACAGAACACCGAUUGCGAAGGCAGCUUACUAAAGUGUGAUUGACGCUGAGGCACGAAAGCGUGGGGAUCAAACAGGAUUAGAUACCCGGGUAGUCCCUGUCUCUUAUAC